This 2907-nucleotide long non-coding RNA is filed under the name Trifolium pratense (red clover). RNAcentral's name for it is "long non-coding RNA (TPRA_LNC005857)". The record is from RNAcentral. Lineage: Eukaryota; Viridiplantae; Streptophyta; Magnoliopsida; Fabales; Fabaceae.
AUUUUUAUGUUUUAGAUGAACAAUUUUCAUCAACAAUUUGUAAGGUUUUUAAUUCGAAUUUUUUGUUGAAGUGUAACAGGAAGGAAACAGAUGAGCAAAGCCGCUAAGGAUCCUACCAAGCCGAACAAGCUACCAAGGACAUAAUCCCAUCUUGAAUUCUGGUUCGUUAUAAUAAAUCACUGCAAAUCACUGCAAAUCACUGCUUAAACUUAUUGUAGACAGCUAUUUUUUUUGUCUGUCAACUUUAUAUAAUCAAACCUUUAUUUUCUUUUUUUACUUUUUGUCGUAUGAUAUAUGAUUUGAAUCUUGAAUUAAUUUGAUGUCCAUAUAUGAUAUAUCUGCUUAUCAUUUUGUUGUCUCACUUGGUUUUUUUUACUUAAAAAUGACAUUUUUAUUGCCAUAUUAUCUUACUAUUGAUGAUAAGAUUCAAUUCACAUUUCUGAAAAAAAAAGUCUUCUGAUUCACAAUUUGAAUCAUGAUCCGAUUGAUAACACCAUUGCGCUGGGCACUUAAAUCCAGCUAUUUUAAAGUGUUUCACUCUAUUCUAAGUUUUUUCUUUUCGUUCGCUUUGCUUAUGUUCCUAUCAUCUGAUUUUGGGGAUGCUUCAACAUUGAAUUUACUUAGGAUUAUGAGAUAUAGUAUAGUUGAAAGUUUUUUUCAUGUGAAAGGAAGCAAAAUAACCACAUUCAUUGUUCAUUGUAGCAGUGUAAAGCUUAGCAUCUGAUCUUGCAAAUUGUCUUCUUGAAAUUAAUGAUUUUUUUGGAAUUAUAUUAUUUCAGGGCACCACGAUGGGCUUGUGUGAACCUAGGAAUUUUCAUUUGCAUGCAAUUUUAGGGAUUCACCGGAGUCUAGGAGUGCAUAUAUCAAAGGUUUAUAUACAUUUUUGUUCCUUCUCAGUUUAGAAAUUUUAUAAUGGCUGAACCUUCUGAUUUUGUUACAAGGUGAGGUCCGUAACUUUGGAUACAUGGUUGCCACAGAACAAGUUUCUUUCAUGCAAUGGAAGAAACUAUGGAAUCUAUUUCUUAAUUACUUUCUUUGUGAAAUGUACUAUUGAACAAUUAUUAGAUACACUGAUCAACUCUUUCUUUCUCUCCUAUAGGACAUUACUUAAUUUUGAUUUGAUCGAUUAGCUCUUUCUUUACACAUGGAAGAUAUCGGUGCUGCCAAAUAGUGGCUAUAGCAGUAUAGCGUAGUAGAAUGUUAACAACUAUUGCUCCACGAUACGCGAUUCAGUACAAAGUGUUUUCAAGUAACUGCUUUAGCUGCACUAUAAGCCUAUAACACUAGCAUAAUAUAGCGUAGCAGAAUGUUAACAACUAUUGCUCCACAAUACGCGAUUCAGUACAAAGUGUUUUCAAGUAACUGCUUUAGCUGCACUUUUAUUUUGAUUUUUAGGUUUUAGAUGAACAAUAUUCAUCAACAAUUUGUAAUGAAUCGUUUGAUCUGGUGUUUAAUUCAAUUUUUUUGUUGAAGUGUAACAGGUAGGAAACAGAUGAGCAAAGCCGCUAAGGAUCCUACCAAGCCUAAGAAGCUACCACGGACAUAAUCCCAUCUUGAAUUCUGGUUCGUUAUAAUAAAUCACAGCUUAAACAUAGUGUAGACAACUACUUUUUUUGUCUGUCAACUUUAUAUAAUCAAACCUUUAUUUUCUCUUUUUACUUUUUGUCGUAUGAUAUAUGAUUUGAAUCUUGAAUUAAUUUGAUGUCCAUAUAUGAUAUAUCUGCUUAUCAUUGUGUUGUCUCACUUGGUUUUUUUACUUAAAAAUGACAUUUUUAUUGCCAUGUUAUCUUACUAUUGAUGAUAAGAUUCAAUUCACAUUUCUGAAAAAAAAAAGUCUUCUGAUUCACAAUUUAAAUCAUGAUCUGAUUGAUAACACCAUUGCGCUGAGCACUUAAAUCCAGCUAUUUAAAAGUGUUUCACUCUAUUCUAAGUUUUUUCUUUUCAUUCGCUUUGCUUAUGUUCCUAUCAUCUGAUUUUGGGGAUGCUUCAACAUUGAAUUUACUUAGGAUUAUGAGAUAUAGUAUAGUUGAAAGUUUUUGUCAUGUGAAAGGAAGCAAAACAGCCACAUUCAUUGUUCAUUGUAGCAGUGUAAAGUUUAGCAUCUGAUCUUGCAAAUUGUAUUCUUGAAAUUAAUGAGUUUUUUUGGAAUUAUAUUAUUUCAGGGCACCACAAUGGGCUAGUGUGAACCUAAGAAUUUUCAUUUGCAUGCAAUUUUCAGGGAUUCACCGGAGUCUAGGAGUGCAUAUAUUAUCAAAGGUUUAUAUACAUUUUUGUUCCUUCUCAGUUUAGAAAUUUUAUAAUGGCUGAACCUUCUGAUUUUGUUACAAGGUGAGGUCCACAACUUUGGAUACAUGGUUGCCAGAACAAGUUUCUUUCAUGAAAGGGAAGAAACUAUGGAAUCUAUUUCUUAAUUACUUUCUUUGUGAAAUGUACUAUUGAGCAAAUUAUUAGAUACACUGAGCAACUCUUUCUUUUUCUCCUGAAGGACAUUAUGUAAUUUCGAUUUGAUCGACUAGCUCUUUCUUUACUCAUGGAAGAUGUCGGUGUUGCCAAAUAGCGGCUAUAGCACUAUAGCGUAGCAGCAGAAUGUUAAUAACUAGCUGCUAUAGCACUAUAUUUUUUUAUUUUGAUUUUUAGGUUUUAGAUGAACAAUUUUCAUCAACAAUUUGUAAAGAAUGGUUUGAUCUGGUUUUUGAUUCGAUUUUUUUGUUGAAUUGUAACAGGAAGGAAACAGACGAGUAAAGUCGCUAAGGAUCCUACCAAGCCGAACAAGNNNNNNNNNNNNNNNNNNNNNNNNNNNNNNNUGAUUUGAAUCUUGAAUUAAUUUGAUGUCCAUAUAUGAUAUAUCUGCUUAUCAUUUUGUUGUCUCACUUGGUUUUUUUCCUUAAAAAUGACAUUUUUAUUGCC